AAUAAAAUAAAAAUGAAUUAAAAGAAACCCCAUUUAACCAUGAGACCUAAUGAUCAAAACAUUCAUUGCCUAUUAGGCAAGUUUCUCUUUUAACCAUCCAUAUACUUCUUCACACAAACCACCCUUCAAAAACCAACAAAAACAAAAGAAUAAAAUGAAUGGAAUCAGAUUUUAAAUGUAUCAACGGGUUGUAAUUGUUUUCACAGUUUCAGAAGGCUUGCAAUGAACUAACUAUUUGGAAUAUGCAACCUUCUUAACUGAGUUGAGGCCUAGUUCAGGAUCUAACCUCAUGAUGAAUCUAUAUACAACAAAGAAUACAGAGUUUCCUUUUUUACACAAAUUAAAGAAAGCAAUUGGUUCUCGGAAACCUGUAUGCAUCCCAUCUCUUAACAGACUACAGAGGUAAUUGAGUAUCAUAUUCAAAAGCUUGGAGGCUCUUGGUAUUCCUUAGGAGUCUCAGGUGGUCUGCUGUAAACAUCAUCAAAAUGAAGAUUUAUAUUUUCUCCUGCUUCAAGGUCAUCAUCCAUGAAAGUUGUUCGUGACAACCUGUGAGAACUCCUCCAAUUCAAGUGCUGUUCUUGUUCCUCUAAGCUCCGCUCUGAAAAAUUAUCAUAGAAAUUAUCUGAAGUGAAGCGGUUAAAAUCGGGAGGCUCAAGAAAACUUGUCUGGGGCUGUGCACCAGGUUGGCCACUUCUGGCCCACCAAUGGCUCCUCUUGGAAUGUGCAAAAUUGCUGACAUCAUGUUGUUGAAGUACACUCUCCCGGAAGAAAGGAGUAGAUGUGGAAGCCCCCAAGUGAGAUUCUGUUCGAUCUUCAUAAUGGUGACGCCAACGCUCAUCAUCAUAUACAGCCUCAUUUUGCGUAAAGUUGGGCUCCAUCCAAUGAUCUCCAGGAUGUUGCCCAGUCACUUCAAAGGGUACUGCUGGAAUGUCUCUCCCAUAAUUAGUUGAAGUCUGCGAGGUAUAGUACCAAUCAAGAAGAUAUGGGUGACUCUUUUGGUCUUCAUCAAUUAGCCACAAAGAACCCAAAUCAAAGCCAGAAGUAUAAUGAGGCAUUUCCCUGGAAAAAGGGGUAUUUCUAUUUCCAGGGCCUCUCAAAUUGGAGCUUCCUUGCCACGUUCUAGGAUGAGAAUGGACAAGUCCAAAUCCGUGUCCUUGCAACUUUUGCUUCCUGAAAUUUCUAAGAUUUGACAAGAACUGCUUUCCAUGGGCAUUUGGUUCCCACGAAGGAUAGCUGCUCUGGAAACUCAAAAAUGAUUUCUCCAUUUUGCCUUGAGAGCUCCUCUGGGUGCGUGGUGUAUGAUAAGGUGAACCAUAAUUGCUAUUGCCAUGAUUUUGAAAAUCAAAAGCACUAAAACUGCACACAUGGCCAACACCUUCAAUAUUCACCGUGAAAUCUGCAAUGAACUGUAGGAUGUCAUCCACCCGCUGCAAAAUAACACAGGAUAUCAGUUUAAAAACUAGCAUAUGCACACAACAGCAACAACAACAAUAAAAAUAACUAAGCCUUUAUACCAAAUAGCAUAUGCACACAUGACAAAAAAAAGUGGCAUAGAUACCUUUGGAACAACAAAUAAAAGCAAGAAUGGGGUGAGGAAAAUCGAUGCCAUCUCUUCGAGUAACAUCAUUCCAGUAUACUACGCCAAAAAAUACAAAUCAUUGAGUAGCAAACAGAUCAAAACUCUCUGUCAUAUGGUUGUUGGAAAGGUUCGUGUGUGGUAGAGGGCACUGUUCAAUUGAAUCUCUCAUAUAAGACCUGGAAUUUUGCAGUAUUACCUGAAAUAGGUUUUCAAACUCUCUCUGGACAGUCUCAGUAUUUUCUUUGCCCCGCCAUCUCUUUGGCAUAAAAUGUGUAUGUUGGACCACCAUAGACAUAGCCCUCUCUGGUUCAAGGACAAGAAGUUCAUCUGUAAUUGCAGCCCGGCCGAUGGCUGUUAUGGUUCCAAAAACAGCAGCAUACCAGAACAAAUUGCGACCAAAUAUAUGGCCUUCUAGUAGAGACUCUUCCAGAAAUGCAAUGAUAAUCAGGAUAGCAGCAAAGCCUCCAGAAACAAAAGAUAUGAACUUGGCAAUAAUUGAAAUAAUAGGUGAGGGGAAUUGCUUAAGAUAAUCGGAAGCAAGCAUUAUACUGCCAUUGAUCCGGUGCUUGAACAAAUGGUCAACCUCAUUGAAUUCCCUAAAAAUCCACUUUGAUAAAUUUGACCAUCUUCGAGAUGAUGCUGUGCUUGGAUGAUUAUAGAACUGUUCAGCAUGCCUUAGAAAGAGAUACACAAGCAUGAAUAUAACCAGGAAUGGUGAAAGGAGAAGAAUUGCAAGCCCAACUACCAUGAGCCUUUUCUUUAAGGUUUUAGGAUUAGAAAUAAAGUCUCUCCUAACACAAAAGUUUCGAUCAAACAUGCUCUGCAGAAUGCACCAAUUUAAGGUCCAUUCAAGGGUCUUUGUUAGUAUUAAACGGUACUGUGUUCCAUUGGAACCAGAUUUGACAAUUGGACCAGCACCUGGAACCCAUGAGGAGAUUGGAAAAGCAAGCACUCCUUUAUUAAGCAUUCCAAUUAAGUAAUUCUCCUUUCGCAUCAAUCGCAUCACGACAUCAUAAGCAGAAAGGUCCUUCACCACACAGAGUUGCUGUGAACUUUGUAACUGUACAACCUUUUCAAGAAUUGUUGCCCAUGGCAUGGUUUGAAUUUCAUUGUCUGUAACAUGGAGACUGUUGUAAUAGAAGUGACGAAUCCCAAGAAUGUCCCUUAGUUGCGCAAAGAACCUCAAAAAACAGAAGAUCCAGUAGAUAGAAAAUAAACCCAAAUAUCCAACAAUAAUAGCUUUUGAAAUUGUUAGAGGGGUUAAUGGGUGCUGAUGAAGAGCUUCUUUAGCAAGAUCACAGGGCUUGAUUCCAGAUUCAACAGCAUCCAUCCCACACUUGGCAUUACGAAGACCAUUCCAAUCAACAUAUAGUAAGAAAAAUCCUGAAAAACAGAUGGUGAACCCCAAACUCAAAAGUUCAACAAUCCACUUUAUGAUAAUGCACCAAAGCCCUUUCUCACAAUAAUAACUAUACAGCCUUUCAAAGAAGAGGUCCAAAUCAGCAAUUGGUUCCACAUUCAAGCUCUCGCCAUUAAGAAGCCCCGAAGGGCUCUCACUACCAGGACUGGGUACCCUUCCAUAGUCAGACAAUUCAAUCUCAGGAGGCACAUCCCUAAGCAAGCCUGUUGUCAAAGUUGAUUCACCAUGUGAUCCCCAUUUAAAUAUGCUGAGAGCAUUAGAACCCUUCUGCCUACUGAACAUCAUUCACAAACAAUGGUAGUAGGCAAAGACAACCGGUCCAUUCCCAAAAAUGCGUAUUUUGUUAAAGAAAAAUUCUUUUCAUUUAUCAAAGGUCUUCCUGGAAUCCGAUCAAUUUUUGGUCCAGCUGCAACAAAAAUUUGAACCUCCUCUACUGCGACCCAGCAGAGUAAGCCUUGAAAACGAAAAGUAGGAAUUCAGUGGCACCAAGUAAAAUUGAUUGCACUGAAGUCGAAAAGAAGAAAAGAAUCGGAUGAUAAAGGAGCAGAGGGCACAGAUAGAGAUAGAACAAUAAAGGAGGCGUUUUUAUUACAGAAAAGUUCCGGCUUAAAGCGGUGAAUAAUUGAGAAAAAUUAAUUGUGUAGAAACCCAAGAGAGAAGAAAAAGAAAGGAACUUGGGCCUUUGAUAGCGUGAAGGAAAGAUGAAAUUUUGCAGAUUUUGUGUCUAUUUAAGGAAUUUUAAUGGAGAUUUCUUUUUUCCAAUUGCAUGUUCAACCGUAUAAUGUUAUAAAAAAAGGCCUGGC
Molecule: unclassified non-coding RNA, 3802 nt
Filed under: Hevea brasiliensis (rubber tree)
Lineage: Eukaryota; Viridiplantae; Streptophyta; Magnoliopsida; Malpighiales; Euphorbiaceae
Source: RNAcentral